The sequence is a transfer RNA, 71 nucleotides long. It matches the Rfam family "tRNA". From Rfam's summary of the family: Transfer RNA (tRNA) molecules are approximately 80 nucleotides in length. Their secondary structure includes four short double-helical elements and three loops (D, anti-codon, and T loops). The record is from Rfam.
UCCUCUUUGGUGUAGUGGUAACACAUUAGUCUCUCACACUGAUACCCCGGGUUCGAUUCCCGGAAGGGGAG